Long non-coding RNA from Brassica napus (rape), 2079 nucleotides. RefSeq lists it as uncharacterized. Lineage: Eukaryota; Viridiplantae; Streptophyta; Magnoliopsida; Brassicales; Brassicaceae. The record is from RefSeq and is a predicted model, not a curated record. The transcript is spliced from 4 exons.
UAACAAAAAUUAGUCGAUUAAAUUCUUUUAUUUCAUUCCCUAUUUUUCUGCAACUCUAACUACUUAAAUUUCAAUUCUUUCGGGAUUUUCAUCCCACGUUUCAAUUUUCUUCUUCAUUAUCAAACUGUUUUUUUUCUCUGUAUAAACAACAAUCUCUGAUGUCGAAAAAUAAAUAUAGCAAUCGGCUAAGUUAUUCUCAAACUCCACCAGAUUGCUCUUCCUUUUUCUUUAUGUUCUCAUAGGUUCACAUAUGGUGGCUCUGCAACUUUUUAGACGACCAAAAUAGACAAGAACUUCUCAAUCUUCUUAUUGAUAUUCCUUUUUGUCUAUAUUCUCACGGUUUUUCUGCUUAUCUUUUCUGAAAUAAUCUUUUUAGAAAUGAUUGAAUUACUACUGUACUUUUCCAUUGCUUCUAACAUCUUUUUGUGACAGUUGUUACAUUCUCACGAUGAUUUUUGAAAUCUUUUAAUUAACAGGAACGCUAGUUUCUCACCGUUUAUCAGUAAUGAAAGAUUUCAAAAAUCAUCAACAAAAUUUGAAGCUAGAGAAGACAUUGCUAACAAAUAAGAAAAUGUAAAGAAAGAAUUCAGUAAGCAUCUUGAAUAUUAUUGAGCAAUUUACGUCAAAACAUGAGGAAAUUGUAUAUGAGUGAUGAUUUUGAUAAUGUUUGGGAGAAAGAAGCAGAUAAAAAUUUCAAAACUUUUGGAUUGGAUGAAAAUUAACAGCCACAACAAAAAAUGGUAAUGAGAAAAAUAUAGAGUACUUGGAAACACUAGAAGUAAAAUUAUCUGAUUUUAUCCCCCUAUAUAUAAAUUAUUGCAAUUACUAAUAUAAUUUAAAUAAGAUAAAGUAUAAAGAGAUCACACAUUUUUUAAAUUUAAAAUACAAAUUUGUUUCGUGCUUUAGCACGGGAGUAACACUAGUAACUUUAUAAGUGACGUUGACAUUCUCGUCACCGGCUUGUAUAACCGCCGGGAACAAAAACUCCGUUCCUGGAUAUGCUUCUUAGAUGGGCCUUAAUCUAAGCACAAUAGUAUCUGUUUCCCAAAAUAAUGGGCCCAUUAAAACAAUUCCAACGAACUGUCGACAAACUGGUGGGUGGGAAUGCAACGGUCGAACACAAAGACAGAGCAAGCCAGUCCUCUCUUCCUCCUUGAUUAAAAAAAAAACACCAAAAUAAAGAUCAAAGAUUCGUCGUCUGCAAACACACACAAGAACCCUGAUUGGUCCCUCAAAUAGUCUUCAAGAAGAUUAAAAAGUCCAUUGAAGACUCAUUGACGGCGACGAUGAUUCCACACUAUUCUUGGUUCGGAGCGAUGAAAGUAUAUCAACUGGUAAAUCUGGCAAGCAUAAGGGUCUCUCAAGCAGAGCUUCGUCAAAGACUUAUGCAGCUUCCCAAAUACCUCCGAGUCGCAAUCCGCCACUGCAUUCUCCGUAAAGACGCUUCCUUAAGCUCUGACGGAACAUUGAUGCAGUUAGAAUAUUUUGAUUGAAUGCCUUCUGAUGAAAUUGAGGACCACACAAGAAUGUCCCAUUGACCAGGUGUGAUUUUUUGUGUUUAUUAGUCUUUGGAUUAUGGAGGGAGAGCUGCCUCCAUCCACGAAUGGCUAUGAAGGAGUUUUCUACAUUUACUUAGUAUAGGUAUGGAUGCUCAAGUGGUUUACGGGUUUCACAAUUUGCGCAAUGAAAAGCCAUACCUUGCGAAUGGCCGGCCCUAUCGCCAAUAAAAUUAUAUAUUCUGGCUACGGUUGGUCCCAGGGCUAGUUCAUGGUGCAUUGCACAAACGACCCUGGUUCAAGGUCUUUAUAAACACCAACAAAACAUAUGUUACAACCAUAAAAUGUGAUAUAAACCGAUUUGUAUUUUUGGGGGUUUAGGGGUCUCAAGAACAUAAUGACAUUGCAUAUUAAAACCCUAGACUUAUCUGAGUGGGAGAAGGUACCAGUUCCCAAAAGACAUCUACAGCAUAGAAACAAGAACACACAUGUGAUACAUUUUUAACUUGGGAUUCUAAUUAUACAUGUUUUUUUUUUGGUAAAAUGUUAAAUUUUAUACCAAGUUUUAAGUUUUUGACAGCGA